RNAcentral lists this ribosomal RNA (2923 nucleotides) under Staphylococcus argenteus. Its description in RNAcentral is "23S ribosomal RNA". It matches the Rfam family "Bacterial large subunit ribosomal RNA". The record is from RNAcentral. Lineage: Bacteria; Bacillati; Bacillota; Bacilli; Caryophanales; Staphylococcaceae.
GAUUAAGUUAUUAAGGGCGCACGGUGGAUGCCUUGGCACUAGAAGCCGAUGAAGGACGUUACUAACGACGAUAUGCUUUGGGGAGCUGUAAGUAAGCUUUGAUCCAGAGAUUUCCGAAUGGGGAAACCCAACAUGAGUUAUGUCAUGUUAUCGAUAUGUGAAUACAUAGCAUAUCAGAAGGCACACCCGGAGAACUGAAACAUCUUAGUACCCGGAGGAAGAGAAAGAAAAUUCGAUUCCCUUAGUAGCGGCGAGCGAAACGGGAAGAGCCCAAACCAACAAGCUUGCUUGUUGGGGUUGUAGGACACUCUAUACGGAGUUACAAAAGACGACAUUAGACGAAUCAUCUGGAAAGAUGAAUCAAAGAAGGUAAUAAUCCUGUAGUCGAAAAUGUUGUCUCUCUUGAGUGGAUCCUGAGUACGACGGAGCACGUGAAAUUCCGUCGGAAUCUGGGAGGACCAUCUCCUAAGGCUAAAUACUCUCUAGUGACCGAUAGUGAACCAGUACCGUGAGGGAAAGGUGAAAAGCACCCCGGAAGGGGAGUGAAAUAGAACCUGAAACCGUGUGCUUACAAGUAGUCAGAGCCCGUUAAUGGGUGAUGGCGUGCCUUUUGUAGAAUGAACCGGCGAGUUACGAUUUGAUGCAAGGUUAAGCAGUAAAUGUGGAGCCGUAGCGAAAGCGAGUCUGAAUAGGGCGUUUAGUAUUUGGUCGUAGACCCGAAACCAGGUGAUCUACCCUUGGUCAGGUUGAAGUUCAGGUAACACUGAAUGGAGGACCGAACCGACUUACGUUGAAAAGUGAGCGGAUGAACUGAGGGUAGCGGAGAAAUUCCAAUCGAACCUGGAGAUAGCUGGUUCUCUCCGAAAUAGCUUUAGGGCUAGCCUCAAGUGAUGAUUAUUGGAGGUAGAGCACUGUUUGGACGAGGGGCCCCUCUCGGGUUACCGAAUUCAGACAAACUCCGAAUGCCAAUUAAUUUAACUUGGGAGUCAGAACAUGGGUGAUAAGGUCCGUGUUCGAAAGGGAAACAGCCCAGACCACCAGCUAAGGUCCCAAAAUAUAUGUUAAGUGGAAAAGGAUGUGGCGUUGCCCAGACAACUAGGAUGUUGGCUUAGAAGCAGCCAUCAUUUAAAGAGUGCGUAAUAGCUCACUAGUCGAGUGACACUGCGCCGAAAAUGUACCGGGGCUAAACAUAUUACCGAAGCUGUGGAUUGUCCUUUGGACAAUGGUAGGAGAGCGUUCUAAGGGCGUUGAAGCAUGAUCGUAAGGACAUGUGGAGCGCUUAGAAGUGAGAAUGCCGGUGUGAGUAGCGAAAGACGGGUGAGAAUCCCGUCCACCGAUUGACUAAGGUUUCCAGAGGAAGGCUCGUCCGCUCUGGGUUAGUCGGGUCCUAAGCUGAGGCCGACAGGCGUAGGCGAUGGAUAACAGGUUGAUAUUCCUGUACCACCUAUAAUCGUUUUAAUCGAUGGGGGGACGCAGUAGGAUAGGCGAAGCGUGCGAUUGGAUUGCACGUCUAAGCAGUAAGGCUGAGUAUUAGGCAAAUCCGGUACUCAUUAAGGCUGAGCUGUGAUGGGGAGAAGACAUUGUGUCUUCGAGUCGUUGAUUUCACACUGCCGAGAAAAGCCUCUAGAUAGAAAAUAGGUGCCCGUACCGCAAACCGACACAGGUAGUCAAGAUGAGAAUUCUAAGGUGAGCGAGCGAACUCUCGUUAAGGAACUCGGCAAAAUGACCCCGUAACUUCGGGAGAAGGGGUGCUCUUUAGGGUUAACGCCCAGAAGAGCCGCAGUGAAUAGGCCCAAGCGACUGUUUAUCAAAAACACAGGUCUCUGCUAAACCGUAAGGUGAUGUAUAGGGGCUGACGCCUGCCCGGUGCUGGAAGGUUAAGAGGAGUGGUUAGCUUCUGCGAAGCUACGAAUCGAAGCCCCAGUAAACGGCGGCCGUAACUAUAACGGUCCUAAGGUAGCGAAAUUCCUUGUCGGGUAAGUUCCGACCCGCACGAAAGGCGUAACGAUUUGGGCACUGUCUCAACGAGAGACUCGGUGAAAUCAUAGUACCUGUGAAGAUGCAGGUUACCCGCGACAGGACGGAAAGACCCCGUGGAGCUUUACUGUAGCCUGAUAUUGAAAUUCGGCACAGCUUGUACAGGAUAGGUAGGAGCCUUUGAAACGUGAGCGCUAGCUUACGUGGAGGCGCUGGUGGGAUACUACCCUAGCUGUGUUGGCUUUCUAACCCGCACCACUUAUCGUGGUGGGAGACAGUGUCAGGCGGGCAGUUUGACUGGGGCGGUCGCCUCCUAAAAGGUAACGGAGGCGCUCAAAGGUUCCCUCAGAAUGGUUGGAAAUCAUUCAUAGAGUGUAAAGGCAUAAGGGAGCUUGACUGCGAGACCUACAAGUCGAGCAGGGUCGAAAGACGGACUUAGUGAUCCGGUGGUUCCGCAUGGAAGGGCCAUCGCUCAACGGAUAAAAGCUACCCCGGGGAUAACAGGCUUAUCUCCCCCAAGAGUUCACAUCGACGGGGAGGUUUGGCACCUCGAUGUCGGCUCAUCGCAUCCUGGGGCUGUAGUCGGUCCCAAGGGUUGGGCUGUUCGCCCAUUAAAGCGGUACGCGAGCUGGGUUCAGAACGUCGUGAGACAGUUCGGUCCCUAUCCGUCGUGGGCGUAGGAAAUUUGAGAGGAGCUGUCCUUAGUACGAGAGGACCGGGAUGGACAUACCUCUGGUGUACCAGUUGUCGUGCCAACGGCAUAGCUGGGUAGCUAUGUGUGGACGGGAUAAGUGCUGAAAGCAUCUAAGCAUGAAGCCCCCCUCAAGAUGAGAUUUCCCAACUUCGGUUAUAAGAUCCCUCAAAGAUGAUGAGGUUAAUAGGUUCGAGGUGGAAGCAUGGUGACAUGUGGAGCUGACGAAUACUAAUCGAUCGAAGACUUAAUCAA